AAUAGAUACCCCGGUAGUCCACGCCGUAAACGGUGGGCACUAGGUGUGGGCGACAUUCCACGUCGUCCGUGCCGCAGCUAACGCAUUAAGUGCCCCGCCUGGGGAGUACGGCCGCAAGGCUAAAACUCAAAGGAAUUGACGGGGGGCCCGCACAAGCGGCGGAGCAUGUGGCUUAAUUCGACGCAACGCGAAGAACCUUACCAAGGCUUGACAUACACCGGAAACGUCCAGAGAUGGGCGCCCCCUUGUGGUCGGUGUACAGGUGGUGCAUGGCUGUCGUCAGCUCGUGUCGUGAGAUGUUGGGUUAAGUCCCGCAACGAGCGCAACCCUUGUCCCGUGUUGCCAGCAGGCCCUUGUGGUGCUGGGGACUCACGGGAGACCGCCGGGGUCAACUCGGAGGAAGGUGGGGACGACGUCAAGUCAUCAUGCCCCUUAUGUCUUGGGCUGCACACGUGCUACAAUGGCCGGUACAAUGAGCUGCGAUACCGCGAGGUGGAGCGAAUCUCAAAAAGCCGGUCUCAGUUCGGAUUGGGGUCUGCAACCG
This 544-nucleotide ribosomal RNA is filed under the name uncultured bacterium. RNAcentral describes it as "bacterial SSU rRNA". It matches the Rfam family "Bacterial small subunit ribosomal RNA", at positions 777 to 1313 of the family's 1533-position model. The record is from RNAcentral.